This is a long non-coding RNA of Cyprinus carpio (common carp), 1548 nucleotides long. The record is from Ensembl. NCBI's taxonomy places the organism in Eukaryota, Metazoa, Chordata, Actinopteri, Cypriniformes, Cyprinidae.
UAAAAUUUUAUUGACUUUAUAAAUGUAAUUAUUUUAGUUUCAAUGCUGCACAACAGAAUGCAGAUUGUUUCUUGAUGUACAAAGAUUUCUUAGACCUAGUAGAUACUGUACUGUAGAUAUUAAAUAUCUGAUCUGUAAUGGUCAACCCAUUUUUAUCUGACAUUUUCUCAUUCAUGCUUGAGCGUCUCUGACCGAUUGGGGACUCGGUGACAAAGGGAGGGUGGGCUGUGCACUAAGCCAUAUCCAUUCAGGGUCAAAACCUUAAAAGGUGACUCGUGGUGGGCAUCAUAAAAAAAAAAAAAUGAGCAAAAACAAAAAAAAAAGUGAGUGGAGAGAGAGGAGCACAGAGUUAGAGGAAAAGAAAGUAGGUCGACUGGGUCACUUUGUGGAUGAAGAGAAGCNGGUUCCAUGGUGUCCACCAUUACUGAAGGUUGGUUUGUGGCUAAUUUUGGGUUGUGGGGUCAGGAACAGCUUAAAGCGUGUCAUUGGUUACAGCUUCGAGCGGCCAAUGGCCUUUCAAUUCCUUAUGUUGGUUAUUUGGAACUAGACGUGGAGCUCUGUGGUAGAGUAGUUUUAGGUUGCGGUGUGCUGGUGGUCCGAGAUCCCCCUGGUGGCGUGUGUGUAGAUGUCCCUGGGGUGUUGGGCAUGAACAUCCUGGGCCGCUGCUACCAGGAGCUCUUUGGCCAGCAUGGCACAGCUCUCUUCGACCUACCAAUCGUGUCUCAGGCCCCUCAUUCUGUUUUUCAGGCUUUACAACAUUGCCAUCAGUUUGGCGGUCAGUCGGUUUCGGAUUGUGGGGGGCGAGUCAAAGUGCGGGGACGUCGGGCGUGUCGCAUCUCAGGUGGCACCAUGAAAUUUGUUGCUGCAACCUGUUCGGUGACAUAUUCGAGCGUUACAGUACUGUUUGAACCACCAGCAUCUGGUCUACCCUCAGGUUUGCUGGCAUCUCCUUCUCUUUUAAGGGUGGAUGGUGGUACAGUCUAUGUGCCCAUAGUUAAUGUUGGUACUGUGGAUGUGUUGCUGUACGCUAGCACUGUCAUUGGCACAGUGAAUAAGGUUGAUGUGAUUAGUUUGCCCCCAGAGGUCACAGAAGUUAAGAUGGUUACCGCCAAGGUGAGUACACAGGUUGUGCACGUUUCCCCCACUGUACAGGAACAGGUAGCUAUGCUAGAUCUAUCGGUGCUGCCAGAAGAAGAACAGGGUAAGGUCAGGGCAUUACUGGAGAAGUAUGUGUCUGUGUUCGCUAUGGACGACGGGGAUUUGGGAUGUACUAAUCUGAUAUCCCAUGAGAUCCCCUUGUUGGAUGACACCCCUGUUAGGCAGCGGUUUCGGCGUAUUCCUCCAUCCGAGUAUGAGGUGGUAAAGGCACAUAUCAAUCAAUUGUUGGAAAAUCGGGUAAUUAGAGAGAGCUGCAGUCCUUAUGCUUCGCCUAUUGUCUUGGUCAAAAAGAAGGAUGGUAGUUUACGCAUGUGCGUGGACUACCGUCGCUUAAAUUCAAAGACUAGGAAGGAUGCAUUCCCUCUACCACGUAUUGAGGAGACUUUGGAC